RNAcentral lists this ribosomal RNA (169 nucleotides) under Pennahia argentata (silver croaker). RNAcentral's name for it is "partial 12S ribosomal RNA". The record is from RNAcentral. Lineage: Eukaryota; Metazoa; Chordata; Actinopteri; Sciaenidae.
CACCGCGGUUAUACGAGAGGCCCAAGUCGAUAGUCAACGGCGUAAAGAGUGGUUAGAGAAACCCCGUUACUAAAGCCGAACCCCUUCAAGGCUGUUAUACGCUUACCGAAGAGGAGAAGCCCACCUACGAAAGUAGCUUUAUAAUCUUGAACCCACGAAAGCUAAGAAA